UACGUAGGGGGCGAGCGUUAAUCGGAAUUACUGGGCGUAAAGUGUGCGCAGGUGGCCGCGCAAGUCGAGUGUGAAAUCCCCGAGCUUAACUUGGGAAUUGCGCUCGAAACUACGUGGCUCGAGUGUGGCAGAGGAAGGUGGAAUUCCACGUGUAGCGGUGAAAUGCGUAGAGAUGUGGAGGAACACCGAUGGCGAAGGCAGCCUCCUGGGCCAACACUGACGUUCAUGCACGAAAGCGUGGGGAGCAAACAGG
Molecule: ribosomal RNA, 253 nt
Filed under: uncultured bacterium
Lineage: Bacteria
Description: partial 16S ribosomal RNA
Rfam family: Bacterial small subunit ribosomal RNA
Source: RNAcentral